CGCUGGCGGCAGGCCUAACACAUGCAAGUCGAGCGGAUGAAGGGAGCUUGCUCCUGGAUUUAGCGGCGGACGGGUGAGUAAAGCCUAGGAAUCUGCCUGGUAGUGGGGGACAACGACUCGAAAGGGUCGCUAAUACCGCAUACGUCCUACGGGAGAAAGUGGGGGAUCUUCGGACCUCACGCUAUCAGAUGAGCCUAGGUCGGAUUAGCUAGUAGGUGAGGUAAUGGCUCACCUAGGCGACGAUCCGUAACUGGUCUGAGAGGAUGAUCAGUCACACUGGAACUGAGACACGGUCCAGACUCCUACGGGAGGCAGCAGUGGGGAAUAUUGGACAAUGGGCGAAAGCCUGAUCCAGCCAUGCCGCGUGUGUGAAGAAGGUCUUCGGAUUGUAAAGCACUUUAAGUUGGGAGGAAGGGUUGUAGUUUAAUACGCUGCAACUUUGACGUUACCAACAGAAUAAGCACCGGCUAACUCUGUGCCAGCAGCCGCGGUAAUACAGAGGGUGCAAGCGUUAAUCGGAAUUACUGGGCGUAAAGCGCGCGUAGGCGGCUUGAUAAGAUGGGUGUGAAAUCCCCGGGCUUAACCUGGGAACUGCAUCCAUAACUGUCUGGCUAGAGUACAGUAGAGGGUGGUGGAAUUUCCUGUGUAGCGGUGAAAUGCGUAGAUAUAGGAAGGAACACCAGUGGCUAUGGCGACCACCUGGACUGAUACU
Molecule: ribosomal RNA, 712 nt
Filed under: Pseudomonas sp. M10-6
Lineage: Bacteria; Pseudomonadati; Pseudomonadota; Gammaproteobacteria; Pseudomonadales; Pseudomonadaceae
Description: bacterial SSU rRNA
Rfam family: Bacterial small subunit ribosomal RNA
Source: RNAcentral